Long non-coding RNA from Leptinotarsa decemlineata (Colorado potato beetle), 580 nucleotides. The record is from RefSeq and is a predicted model, not a curated record. NCBI's taxonomy places the organism in Eukaryota, Metazoa, Arthropoda, Insecta, Coleoptera, Chrysomelidae.
UAUCUUCGAAUGUACAGGCAUCAAGAUUUUCCCAGCGACUCCGUUGCAAUCUUCAAGUAUAACAGGUAUUGGAGUUAUUUUCGUUUUGCUCAGCGUGAAUUGCUGAAAUCUCAGAUCGACCUCAACAGUGGUUACUGAAAGUGAAGCGAACGAAGUGGAGAUCGUCUCUGACGCCGACUGGAAUAAAAUUGAUCUUCAAGCAUUUUCGAUAUGGAUACGAAAUCUGACUACUUCGAAGAUAUUUCUGUUCUGCUACAACAAGCAUUGAAAAUAAACAACAAAACAGAAACUGAUUUGAAACAAGAUAUUCAAAUUCUCAGAAAAUGGAUGGAAAGCCAAACACAUCUGCCUGAAAUACCCACCAUGGAAAUUCCGUUUUUUAUUGAUGAAUAUUUUUUGGUUCAGAUUGAAGGAAACAGUGUCUAAGUGGGUUGAGCAAUAUGAAUGAAAUAACUGAAAAUCAAUUCAUAUGGUAAUUGAAAGAAUACAUCUUCACUAGCAAUUGAUGAUGAAUAACUCCGGCACAUCGGCAUAAGUUAGAAUAAACGUCUUUCCUGUGUAACAUGUGAAUAGAAUUUAU